CGAAGGAGGGCAGGAAAAGCUAGCCUCUGAGGCUAGACACAAUUUCGGCGGCCCCAGGGAAUUGAGGAGUCCGACUGAGCCCGACUGAGCCCGACAGGGGCUCCCAGGUGGCCUUGACCUUGGUGCCCCGGACUCAGUCUGCCCACUUGCUGGCUCAGACCGACGACCCUAAACCCUCAUCUAGGGCAGCUGGACACAGCUAGGAUCAUCUAGAAAGAGGGAACCUCAACUGAGAAAAUCCCUCCAGUAGCUUGGCCUGUCCAUCGCGGCCCAGAGGUCGAGGUAGGCAAGCUUUCAAGUCGUACCCUGUUUGAGUAGCGUGAUGGAAUCUCAAGCCUGCUCACAGUGUUCGCCCAGGGCGCGCCACCCCUUUGUUUGCUGUGUCCACUCUGGAUGAGCUACCCACUCGUCAGUCACUUCAUUUUGACCAUCAGAUUAGUUGCCAUGGCAUCACAGUGCUCAAGCGACCUCACUUUGGAGCUGCAUCUAUGUCUUUUGCCUCAUCACGUGGCUCUCAUGUCACCACAAGAAGAGCGCUGAGCAUGCUAUAAGGUAUCUUGAGAAAGACCAUGUUCACACAAUUUUACAGCAGCUUACUACUGUAGAUGUUUUACCUUAUAAUUGCUGUGAUUAAUAUUUUA
Molecule: long non-coding RNA, 641 nt
Organism: Meriones unguiculatus (Mongolian gerbil)
Lineage: Eukaryota; Metazoa; Chordata; Mammalia; Rodentia; Muridae
Exons: 3
Source: RefSeq, a predicted model, not a curated record